This 2883-nucleotide long non-coding RNA is filed under the name Eucalyptus grandis. RNAcentral describes it as "long non-coding RNA (EGRA_LNC002882)". The record is from RNAcentral. Lineage: Eukaryota; Viridiplantae; Streptophyta; Magnoliopsida; Myrtales; Myrtaceae.
UUGGUUUUACAAACAAUGGGAUGCUAUAUAUCAAACAAAAACUAAUCCUAGCAAGUAAUAACAUCGUACCAUUUAAUGUUUGAUGCAGUAAAUAUGACAUGAUUCUUUUCAUAUAUAUAUUUCAGACAAUUACAUUUCGUAUUUAAGAAUUGCACUUUACCAAACAUGGAAAAAAAUUAAGGGCUAGUUAGUUUAAAUUUCUAAAUUACUCCGAUAUUGUCAAAGACAAUUCCUGUUACUUUAUAGUUGAUGGAGAUAAUUUAUAUCACCUUAUAAUUGGUGACAAUUCCUGGUGGCCUGCUCCUACGGGAUCACUUAUAUCGAAUUAGUUGUACAUGCAUUACUAGCAAGAUGUUUAAUAAAUAUUUAAUUACGGGUACUUAGAAAUGCUACUCCUUCAGAACUGAUUUGAGCAAAUAAUGAUGUAUUUUUUUACAGCACGGUGCAGUACAAAUGCCGCCCUUUACAACAUACAUUGGAAAGCCUCCAUGACUUGGAGACUACGUGGCCUCUAAGGUUAUUUUGAAAGUGAGAUAUUAUGAUCAAUAUAUCUGACCAACCACAUUUAAAUUAAAUGCUUGACCAUUUAACAAGCUAUUCCUUGGGCGUUUUUACUUUUGUAUAUAUGUCAACGGGUUAAUUCAUCAUGUUUUUGUUUCCCUUUAUCUGACCAAUAUACAAUUAUUUUUUGUAUAUAAAAAUGUUUAUAUGUAAACUAGUGACAUAGUUAGAAUUAGGUGAAAUAGUUUAUACUAGCAUAUUUGCAUUUUAAAUUUCUUCCCUAGGUAGAUUUAAUUUUGAAAUAAAACUACAUCAAUAGUUUGAGAUAUUAGGUUUAGAAAGUAUUUGUCCUUCUAUAUAUAAUAAAAACCUUCUACUUGUGAGGGAUUUUAACCUCUUUUUCAUUCCUUCCAUCCAUGAUCUUCAGUUGCUCAUUUUACAAAUAUAAUAUCCAUGGACAAAUGCACGAAAUCGAUUAUUUUAUUUUAUCUCUCACAUAUUUCAAUAUAUUAAAAAUUGAAUUUAAUCAUGAUUCAAUGGCCUUCAUAAGAAAAUUCAAUUUUUUUCUUUCUGCAUAUAAUAAUAGAAUUUGUUUGUAUCAUGUAUUUUACCCGCAAAAUGUUUUCAUUGCGGAUUUCUUAUAAAGAUGUUUCACUUAAUUUUUCAAUGCCAAUUAUGUUGCACGUUAUUUCCAACGCAAGUAGUUAACGACAUUCUGCAAGAAAAUAGAGUAGUGGUUUCUAAAACAGAGGAACACCAUUUCCUUAGGGAUACUAGUGCAUACAGUACGCAAACGGCCAUACAAAUGAAGCAGAUAAUAAAAAGGUCUAUGUAGAUAAAUGCUCACCUUACUAAUUGAUGAUGUGGACAAACGAUCACGCUUGAUGGAUGUAGAAAGGCUGGUAAUAUUGUUCCCCGACAAAAUUAAGAUUUUCAACAAGGGGAAACAAGAAAGAUCCUCGAGCAACUCUACUUGGGAUAGAUUACAAUUUAAAAGGUCUGACACAUUUGAAUUUGGAAGUUCGAUCUUCAUGCAUGGAUCAACUGAAUUCCAAAGGUUUGGAAACACGAUUCGGCAAAGAAAAGAUUUGAACCAUUGAAGAUUUUGUAACUUGUAAUUGUUAGAUGGACGACUUAUAGGGUUUUUGCCCAUGUCUAAAUGUAUUUUCUCUAGAGAGACAAGAUUUUUUAUUGAUGUAGGAAGUUCUUUUAAAGCGGUAUGUCGUAUGGAAAGUUCUUUCAGGCCUCUGAGUUCAUCUGGAAUAUCGGGGAAUCUUUCCAAUUUUGGGCAAUCGGAAAGUUUGAGAUCUCGAAGAUUUUUUGACUUGAGCACAUUCGGAAAAACACAAAGUUCAGGGCACCAUUUAAAAUGCAAGACCCGGAGCUUGUCAUGAUAUGCAAUCGACUCGUGGGCUUCUACCAAGUUUUUACAAUUCCGGAGUUUCAAUUCUUCGAGAUUUGGAGUACAUGAGAUGUUGGGUGUACUAACAAGCGACUCGCAAUCACGCAAUUUAAUGUACCUCAAUUGUUGGAAGUCCUGCAAAAACAACAAAACCAACUACCAUAAACAUUCUAAAAGGGAAAGAAGGGUAUUUGUAUAAUGCCAUUGCCACUUUUAAUGAUUUUCAUCCUUCGGCCACAAUUCUCUUCAUGAUAAAGGUGGCAAGGAGCAUCGUUAGAUCAGGCAACUUGAAACCUACUAUAUAGGGUUCUAAGUAAAUUUCUUAACCUAUUAAUAACUUUUCAUUCAAAGUUAUCAUAUAUAUAGUAUUGAGAACUAAACCCUUUGAAACUUUACCAGUAAAUACAAAUUUUUAUGUAUAUACAGUAAAGCUUACAUGGCACGCUCAGAAGUGAGUUCUACCUAGCAAUUUAGUUUUUAUGAUCACAUUAGCAAAUAAGAGACAACUCUUAUCAUUUUAUUUUUAGAUAUUAUUUUAAAGAGUUAUAUAAUAUAUAAUACACAAAAUUAAAAAGAUUUCAAAUAAAUUAUUCUAGACAAUCAUCAAAACAGUUCGAUAUAACAUGAUACUCCAUACUUGACCAAUAAAGAUAUAUCGUGAUUACUAAAUCAAACGUUGGUUUUACAAACAAAGAAAUACUAUAUAUCAAACAAAAAAUUAUUCUAGCAAAUAACAAAAUCACACCAUAUGAUGUUUCGAUACAUUAAAUAUGACAAUUCUUUUUAUAUAUAUUUCAGAUAAUCACAUUUCGUAUUAAAGAAUUGCGUGUUAACAAACAUGGAAAAAAAUUAAGGGUUAGCUAAUUUAAAUUUCUAAAUUUCUCCGAUAUGAUCAAAGACAACUCCUAUUACUAUAUAGUUGAUGGAGAUAAUUUACAUCACCGUAUAAUUGGGGAGAACAAAUAUUGAAUUAAGGAUUG